UGCGCUUCUCGGCCUUUUGGCUAAGAUCAAGUGUAGUAUCUGUUCUUAUCAGUUUANUUAACUUUUUCAUCAUGUGUGUUAUGAGUUGCAUUAUAUGUGUCCUCUCUAAACAAUUUGUUGAAAUCCUCAUGUCCAGUACCUCAGGCUAUGAAUUUGUAAACGAGGUACUUGUGGUUGAGAUCUUGAUUUGAUGAUCAGAU
Molecule: small nuclear RNA, 200 nt
Filed under: Neotoma lepida (desert woodrat)
Lineage: Eukaryota; Metazoa; Chordata; Mammalia; Rodentia; Cricetidae
Description: U2 spliceosomal RNA
Rfam family: U2 spliceosomal RNA
About the family: U2 is a small nuclear RNA (snRNA) component of the spliceosome (involved in pre-mRNA splicing).
Source: Rfam by way of RNAcentral